GGAACAAAAAUGAGCCACAACCACCAAGAACUGCAGUGGCGGUCGAGUUCCGGCGAGGUUGUCGGAUUUCGCCCAUUUUUGUUCCGAGCUUCACUCUUCUCUAAGACGCAUUGAGGGAAUUGUACAUAUCUAAGGGAAAAAAAAAUGAAAGGAACUUGUACUCUCGUAGCUUCCGUGCUCGCCGCGUCCACCGUGGCUUUAUCCUCCUCCUCGGCCGCAGAUCGCGACGUCGCCUUUUAUCCUUCCUCCAAUGAGGUAUUUGGUUCGAGCCUUUGUUUUUUCUUAUAAAUUUAAUCAUAUUCAGUGGACUUGUGUUUCAUUAAAAUUUUUGGUUGAAUGAAAGUUAUGGUUUUUGUUUAUUUUGUUUCCUUCGCUGAUAAAAAAGCCAUGGCGUUGUUCAAAAUAUAAAAGAAAUGCUUUCGUUUAAAAAAGGAGUCGUUGGAUCUAAACCUUGUUUUCUGGUUGUGCUUUGGCGUCGAAUAUUGGGGAAAACUUACUCUCGCAUUCACGUUCAGAAUUUUAUUUUUUAUGUUAAUUUCUCUUGCCUGUCCUCUCUAAAUCCGUGAUUCAUUUUGUUUAACUUCUCAGAAAUUGUGACUCUUAGCGUUGAUUCUCUUUAUAGAAAAAAGAAAAAAAAAAAAGAGACUUAUCAGAACAGAGUUGAUAAAAUGCAUCAUAAGAUUUAAUUUUAUCGUCUUUGAUUAGGGCUCGACUUAUACAAUGGGGAAACGUGGCGCACCAAAUGCUUGUGCAACGUCGGAUAAGGGGAAAUUUGUACCAAGAUUUGAUGGGUUGAGGUUCAUAGAAACUCUGGUCACGGCUCAUAGAUAAGCUUACAAAGCUCAUAAUUUUCUGAUUGUUAUUUGUUCAUGUUGAGGCAAACCCCAUGGGUUUAUAAGAUGUGAUUUAAAGAGAGUUUUGUUUUUUUUUUUUUCCCCUCUCUUAAUUUUGUGUUUUUGGAGAACUUUUGCUACUGAGUUGUGUCAUUUUUGGCCUUUGCAAUUGAUAUUUUGUGUGGUGACCAUCAUCACAAACUCAAACGCGAUGGUCACAGGUUUUGUCGAUGCCCACCUGGAAUUUCUUGGCUUGAUAUCUCGUAAGCUGUUCGCUUAAUUGCUGAACCUAUGGUUAAUCGAAUGUUUCGUUUGAUUGAAAUGUUUCAAUUUUGACAGUUUAGCUAUUCUUGCUAGCUUAGAGCUAGCAUUUGAAAUGAUAUUUUUUUAAAAAAAUAACAACGAAUAAUAAGUUUUUGGAUGCCUUCCUCGAGUUGUAGUUAUGGGGAAGGCAUUAUUUGGUUAUUAUGGAAAAUUAAAAGUAAAUAGGUUUGUUGAGUUUGUUUGAUAAGAUCAAGUAAUGAAAGAAUCGAUUUUUGGAAUUAAUGACAAAUUAUAUAAUAAACUUAGUUGUUAAUAAUGAAAUGAAGGAGGAAAAAAUCACCGGUUGGAAGUAGAAUUAAGUUUCAAUUUUUUAUUCGAUGUGAAAAAUUCAAGUUGGGGAGUAUUUAAUCGUUAAUUGAGAGAGUUGUUUGUUGGGCGAGUGACAUGAUAAAUUAAUUACAUAAACAUAAAAGCCCGUGAAGGACAUAACUCUGUAAUUUUAAAUGAAAGUGUUUAAGUAUAUGCUUUUACACGAGGAAGAAUAUCCCGACUUAACGGCAAGCGGUCAUCUGUUUUUGCCGCUAAUUUUUUAUUUUUUUAUUUUUUAUAAAAAAAAAAUAAGGAGAAUAAAGACUUUUUAAGUGAUAUGUUUUCAAGCCUUUCAGGGAGGAGAAUAUUAGAAUCUUUUUGUUUCAUUCCACUUUCCGUCGGCCGAUCCAUGAAAAGAAAAAGCUGCCUUCAUUUGCACGAGUCACAGAGAAAUUGGGGCCCUUCCACCGAAGCGCCCGUUUUGGAGAAAACAACUCUUUCUUGACCGCACAACUUUGAAGCAGGCUCCUUCUCUCUCCUUUUCAAAAGCUGUAAAGCAGAAAUCAAAAACUGCAAUUGAAUCAGACAAAAACCAAUCCUGAACCACCUUAAAUUAUAAUUUUUAGAAUAAUGUAUAUUUGGCUCUAUAUGAAAUGUUUAGAUUUAAAUUUUAUAACUUCUUUUGUUUUUAUUAUUAUCAUCCAAUUAAAUAUCAUUAAUACUCUAAUUUAUAUAUUUCACUAAUUAUCAAUCAAUCUAAGAUUAUU
This 2173-nucleotide unclassified non-coding RNA is filed under the name Hevea brasiliensis (rubber tree). The record is from RNAcentral. Lineage: Eukaryota; Viridiplantae; Streptophyta; Magnoliopsida; Malpighiales; Euphorbiaceae.